GCCGGGCGUAGUAUUGGACGCCUGUAAUCCCAGCUACUCUGGAGGCUGAGGCAGGAGAAUCGCUUGAACCCGGGAGAUGGAGGUUGCAGUGAGCUGAGAUCAUGCCACUGCCCUCCAGCCUGGGCAACAGAGCAAGACUCUGUCUCAA
RNAcentral lists this small RNA (148 nucleotides) under Macaca mulatta (Rhesus monkey). Its description in RNAcentral is "Metazoan signal recognition particle RNA (ENSMMUG00000063054.1)". Lineage: Eukaryota; Metazoa; Chordata; Mammalia; Primates; Cercopithecidae. The record is from Rfam by way of RNAcentral.